RNAcentral lists this ribosomal RNA (406 nucleotides) under uncultured bacterium. Its description in RNAcentral is "partial 16S ribosomal RNA". It matches the Rfam family "Bacterial small subunit ribosomal RNA", at positions 30 to 526 of the family's 1533-position model. The record is from RNAcentral.
AUUGAACGCUGGCGGCAGGCCUAACACAUGCAAGUCGAACGAGUGGCGGACGGGUGAGUAAUGUCUGUGAAACUCCCUGAUGGAGGGGGAUAACUACUGGAAACGGUAGCUAAUACCGCAUACCAUCAGAUGUGCCCAGCUGGGAUUAGCUUUUUGGUGGGGUGACGGCUCACCAAGGCGACGAUCCCUAGCUGGUCUGAGAGGAUGACAAGAUUCAAUGGAACGGUGACACGGACAAGACUCCUACGGGAGGCAGCGGGGGGGAAUAUGGAUGAAUGGGCGCAAGCCUGAUGCAGCAAUGCAGCGUGUAGGAAGAAGGCCUUCAGGUUGUAAAGUACUUUCAUCGGGGAGGCGGUACCCGCAGAAGAAGCACCGGCUAACUCCGUGCCAGCCGCCGCGGUAAUAC